AUUGAACGCUGGCGGCAGGCCUAACACAUGCAAGUCGAACGGUAACAGGAAACAGCUUGCUGUUUCGCUGACGAGUGGCGGACGGGUGAGUAAUGUCUGGGAAACUGCCUGAUGGAGGGGGAUAACUACUGGAAACGGUAGCUAAUACCGCAUAACGUCGCAAGACCAAAGAGGGGGACCUUCGGGCCUCUUGCCAUCGGAUGUGCCCAGAUGGGAUUAGCUAGUAGGUGGGGUAACGGCUCACCUAGGCGACGAUCCCUAGCUGGUCUGAGAGGAUGACCAGCCACACUGGAACUGAGACACGGCCCAGACUCCUACGGGAGGCAGCAGUGGGGAAUAUUGCACAAUGGGCGCAAGCCUGAUGCAGCCAUGCCGCGGGUAUGAAGAAGGCCUUCGGGUUGUAAAGUACUUUCAGCGGGGAUGAAGGGAGUAAAGUUAAUACCUUUGCUCAUUGACGUUACCCGCAGAAGAAGCACCGGCUAACUCCGU
RNAcentral lists this ribosomal RNA (489 nucleotides) under uncultured bacterium. RNAcentral's name for it is "partial 16S ribosomal RNA". It matches the Rfam family "Bacterial small subunit ribosomal RNA", at positions 30 to 506 of the family's 1533-position model. The record is from RNAcentral.